RNAcentral lists this ribosomal RNA (254 nucleotides) under uncultured bacterium. RNAcentral describes it as "partial 16S ribosomal RNA". It matches the Rfam family "Bacterial small subunit ribosomal RNA", at positions 524 to 776 of the family's 1533-position model. The record is from RNAcentral.
UACGUAGGGGGCGAGCGUUGUCCGGAUUUAUUGGGCGUAAAGAGCUCGUAGGCGGUUUGGUAAGUCAGGUGUGAAAUCUCCACGCUCAACGUGGAGGGGCCACCUGAUACUGCCAUGACUGGAGUCCGGUAGAGGAGUGUGGAAUUCCCGGUGUAGCGGUGAAAUGCGCAGAUAUCGGGAGGAACACCCGUAGCGAAGGCGGCACUCUGGGCCGGUACUGACGCUGAGACGCGAAAGCGUGGGGAGCGAACAGG